ACGAACGCUGGCGGCGUGCCUAAUACAUGCAAGUCGAACGGUCUUUCUAUGGAAGCUUGCUUCCACUGAGAAGAUAGUGGCGAACGGGUGAGUAACACGUGGGUAACCUGCCCAUAAGAGGGGGAUAACAUCCGGAAACGGGUGCUAAUACCGCAUAGUUUUCUUGAUCGCAUGAUCGGGAAAGGAAAGACGGCCUUUGUGCUGUCGCUUAUGGAUGGACCCGCGGCGUAUUAGUUAGUUGGUGAGGUAAUGGCUCACCAAGACGAUGAUACGUAGCCGACCUGAGAGGGUGAUCGGCCACAUUGGGACUGAGACACGGCCCAAACUCCUACGGGAGGCAGCAGUAGGGAAUCUUCCGCAAUGGACGAAAGUCUGACGGAGCAACGCCGCGUGAGUGAAGAAAGGGUUUUCGGAUCGUAAAACUCUGUUGUCAGAGAAGAACAAGUUGGAGAGUAACUGCUCCAGCCUUGACGGUAUCUGACCAGAAAGCCACGGCUAACUACGUGCCAGCCGCUGC
RNAcentral lists this ribosomal RNA (517 nucleotides) under uncultured bacterium. Its description in RNAcentral is "bacterial SSU rRNA". It matches the Rfam family "Bacterial small subunit ribosomal RNA", at positions 29 to 518 of the family's 1533-position model. The record is from RNAcentral.